CCUACGGGUGGCAGCAGUGGGGAAUAUUGGACAAUGGGGGGAACCCUGAUCCAGCGACGCCGCGUGAGUGAAGAAGUUUCUCGGUAUGUAAAGUUCUAUCAUCAGGGAAGAAUGAAAUGACGGUACCUGAACAAUAAGCCCCGGCUAACUACGUGCCAGCAGCCGCGGUAAUACGUAGGGGGCAAGCGUUGUUCGGAUUGACUGGGCGUAAAGGGAGCGUAGACGGUAAUGCAAGUAUGAAGUGAAAUGCAGGGGCUUAACCCCUGGACUGGUUUCUAAACUGGAUGACUUGAGUGCAGGAGAGGUUAGGGGAAUGCCUAGUGUAGCGGUGGAAUGCGUAGAUAUUAGGAGGAACACCAGUGGCGAAGGCGGCUUACUGGACUGUAACUGACGUUGAGGCUCGAAAGUGUGGGGAGCAAACAGGAUUAGAUACCCCUGUAGUC
Molecule: ribosomal RNA, 443 nt
Filed under: uncultured bacterium
Lineage: Bacteria
Description: partial 16S ribosomal RNA
Rfam family: Bacterial small subunit ribosomal RNA
Source: RNAcentral